Molecule: long non-coding RNA, 446 nt
Organism: Salvelinus fontinalis (brook trout)
Lineage: Eukaryota; Metazoa; Chordata; Actinopteri; Salmoniformes; Salmonidae
Exons: 4
Source: RefSeq, a predicted model, not a curated record
AUAAAGCCCCUCCCCUUUCUUCGUCACAUCCUCUUUCAAGUUGGUGUCCUCGCUUUAGUGACACAUCUCCACAAGAUGAGAGCAAAGUGGAGGAAGAAGCGUAUGCGCAGGCUGAAGCGUAAAAGGCGAAAGAUGAGGCAGAGGUCUAAGUAGACUGGCCCAUCCAUUCCCUACAGCUGUGAUCUCCAAGCCCCCUCUGGUGACUGAAGUCUGCAGUCCAUGAUGUGCCAAGAGCUGAACGUGGUAGUCUGAAGCAAACGUUGCAAUGGUGUAAAGGACAGAUCCCGGCUACCCAGUGUUCUACUCUGCAAAUGGCUGCUGGCUGACAACUACUGGAGAAUGGCAAGGAAGACCUGAAUUGAAUCUUCAGUUUUUUAAGUCUGGCCUUGUAACAUCUGCCCAGCUGAUUUGUUGUAAAGACCAUAAUAAAUCUUUGGUUUACUAAA